Non-coding RNA from Anas platyrhynchos (mallard), 706 nucleotides. NCBI's taxonomy places the organism in Eukaryota, Metazoa, Chordata, Aves, Anseriformes, Anatidae. The record is from RefSeq and is a predicted model, not a curated record.
GAGGAGGUGCAUGUGCUAUGGGAGCAGGCAGGAUGGCCUGAGGGAAGAGGUGGGGUGUUUGUAUGGUGGUGUGGUGAGCCUCAGCACAAGCAGUAUGUGGAGGAUGUGGGGCUGUAGCUGCCUGGCAGGCACCAAAGGAGAGGUGUGGAAGUGGCUGACCCGUCCUCCCAGGCCACGUGAAGGACCCAUAGUGGAGAUGUCUUUCCCUGCCUCCUUUCCAGCAGUGCCCUGCGCAGCCUGGCCCCUCGUUAGCGGGAGGGGGCUCCUGCAGAAGGCUGUCCUCCUGGCACGAUCCGUGCAGCUCCAUCGCAGUGCUGCUCUUCCAAGCUGUGCAGCUCACUCCCACACUUGCUUUGUGGAGCAUGCAGUUUCCCUGCUUCCAAGAAGUAGUAAUACAAAAUAAGAGUACAAAGGUCUGGAGAGGGUCAAUGGGGCUGUAGAAGGAGUCUUACAGCAAGAAUAAAGACAGCUCUAGCUCUUACUCUGAUGAAAGGCCAAAUCCUGCUUUUUUCUUAUAACACAAAUUAAUCCCUGGUGAUGUACAACUUGGGUUAGUAAGAGCACUAACCAAUUCUCCUGUGUAUCAAGCAAAUCAGCCCUUCCUGCUUUAAACAGCAGUUUGUACAGAUGUGUAAAUAGAAAAUGUUGUUUUGCUUCUCAGGGGAUCUAUUGUUUGGUGGAACAAUAAUAAUAGUUUCCAAAUGUA